CUUGUUUCGGUAAUCCUCAUCAACUGUUGCCUCAAGUUCCCUGUCAAUCAACUAGUCGUUACCUUAGCAGGAUCUUCCAAUCUUCCAAUCUUCCACUAACAUAACGAGUCAGCAAGAACUACUUAUCUUUUGACCUCACAGUCCAGACUAGUUUGGGGUGAAGGUGUUCACGAAUGGACAAUACCCACCUUGAUGACUUUCUGG
Molecule: long non-coding RNA, 204 nt
Filed under: Gossypium barbadense (sea-island cotton)
Lineage: Eukaryota; Viridiplantae; Streptophyta; Magnoliopsida; Malvales; Malvaceae
Description: long non-coding RNA (GBAR_LNC008100)
Source: RNAcentral